RNAcentral lists this ribosomal RNA (216 nucleotides) under Glomeromycotina sp. RNAcentral describes it as "partial small subunit ribosomal RNA". The stretch from base 44 to 216 matches the Rfam family "Eukaryotic small subunit ribosomal RNA", at positions 690 to 864 of the family's 1831-position model. Lineage: Eukaryota; Fungi; Glomeromycota. The record is from RNAcentral.
GGGUCAGUAGGUUGGUCGUGCCACCGGUACGUACUGGUCUCACUGAUUCCUCCUUCCUGAAGAACCGUAAUGCCAUUAAUUUGGUGUUGCGGGGAAACAGGACUGUUACUUUGAAAAAAUUAGAGUGUUUAAAGCAAGCUAACGCUUGAAUACAUCAGCAUGGAAUAAUGAAAUAGGACGAUCGACCCUAUUUUGUUGGUUUCUAGGAUUGACGUA